Long non-coding RNA from Salvia splendens (bonfire salvia), 578 nucleotides. RefSeq lists it as uncharacterized. The record is from RefSeq and is a predicted model, not a curated record. NCBI's taxonomy places the organism in Eukaryota, Viridiplantae, Streptophyta, Magnoliopsida, Lamiales, Lamiaceae. The transcript is spliced from 3 exons.
UUUUUAGUUCGCUUUGAAGAUUUGCUCAUAUACCGUGUUAACAGUUUGUUCUUCUGACAGGCAAAGGCCUCUCGUCUCUGGCAUGAAGUGAUGACCCUGGCGACGGAAUAAAUAUUACUAAAUCAGCCACUUUGCAGAGGUAAAGUGGUUGGCACUCAUGUGUAUCCAUUAUUGAUGAGUCUAAACACUCGAGACAGAGCUUCCUUCCAUCCUCAAGAACUAGAUAUCUGGCAUCUACAGGCUGCAUUACCACAAGCCCGUUAAAUAGCUACAGCAGCGGGGUGUUCCAUCAUGUUCAUGUGAAGGGCAGUACUUCUGAUGCCAGAAAGGAUGAGCUCUGUACUCUAUAAGCCCAGCAGCAUUCGUGGGAAUCUACAUAGAUGGAAAAUGAGAAUUAACCAAAGCUCUGAAGUAAUAAGUAGUAUCAUUCUUGCGGCCAGUCAAGAAAUACCAUAUAACGAAUAUAACUCAGGUCUAAACCAUUCAAACAAUAGGAAACUAGUGAGCUAAUGUAAUUGUUGAGACCUAUGUUUCUUGUCCGAUAUCAACUUGGUAAUGAUCUUAUCCCUUCUAUAUCA